RNAcentral lists this ribosomal RNA (567 nucleotides) under uncultured bacterium. Its description in RNAcentral is "bacterial SSU rRNA". It matches the Rfam family "Bacterial small subunit ribosomal RNA", at positions 338 to 916 of the family's 1533-position model. The record is from RNAcentral.
CCUACGGGAGGCAGCAGUGGGGAAUAUUGGGCAAUGGAGGAAACUCUGACCCAGCGACGCCGCGUGCGGGAUGAAGGCCUUCGGGUUGUAAACCGCUUUCAGUAGGGAAGAAGCGAAAGUGACGGUACCUACAAAAGAAGCACCGGCUAACUAUGUGCCAGCAGCCGCGGUAAUACAUAGGGUGCAAGCGUUGUCCGGAAUUAUUGGGCGUAAAGAGCUCGUAGGUCGUUUGUUACGUCGGAUGUGAAAACCUGAGGCUCAACCUCAGGCCUGCAUUCGAUACGGGCAAACCAGAGUUUGGUAGGGGAGACUGGAAUUCCUGGUGUAGCGGUGGAAUGCGCAGAUAUCAGGAGGAACACCAAUGGCGAAGGCAGGUCUCUGGGCCAAUACUGACACUGAGGAGCGAAAGUCUGGGGAGCGAACAGGAUUAGAUACCCUGGUAGUCCAGACCGUAAACGGUGGGCACUAGUUGUGGGAACCUUCCACGGUUUCUGCGACGCAGCUAACGCAUUAAGUGCCCCGCCUGGGGAGUACGAUCGCAAGAUUAAAACUCAAAUGAAUUGACGG